Molecule: ribosomal RNA, 496 nt
Filed under: uncultured bacterium
Lineage: Bacteria
Description: partial 16S ribosomal RNA
Rfam family: Bacterial small subunit ribosomal RNA
Source: RNAcentral
GAUGAACGCUGGCGGCGUGCCUAAUACAUGCAAGUCGAGCGAACAGACGAGGAGCUUGCUCCUCUGACGUUAGCGGCGGACGGGUGAGUAACACGUGAUAACCUACCUAUAAGACUGGGAUAACUUCGGGAAACCGGAGCUAAUACCGGAUAAUAUAUUGAACCGCAUGGUUCAAUAGUGAAAGACGGUUUUGCUGUCACUUAUAGAUGGAUCCGCGCCGCAUUAGCUAGUUGGUAAGGUAACGGCUUACCAAGGCAACGAUGCGUAGCCGACCUGAGAGGGUGAUCGGCCACACUGGAACUGAGACACGGUCCAGACUCCUACGGGAGGCAGCAGUAGGGAAUCUUCCGCAAUGGGCGAAAGCUUGACGGAGCAACGCCGCGUGAGUGAUGAAGGUCUUCGGAUCGUAAAACUCUGUUAUUAGGGAAGAACAAAUGUGUAAGUAACUAUGCACGUCUUGACGGUACCUAAUCAGAAAGCCACGGCUAACUACGUG